This 586-nucleotide ribosomal RNA is filed under the name uncultured Glomus. Its description in RNAcentral is "SSU rRNA". It matches the Rfam family "Eukaryotic small subunit ribosomal RNA", at positions 624 to 1213 of the family's 1831-position model. Lineage: Eukaryota; Fungi; Glomeromycota; Glomeromycetes; Glomerales; Glomeraceae. The record is from RNAcentral.
AAGCUCGUAGUUGAAUUUCGGGAUUAGUACGCUGGUCGUGCCUUCGGUAUGUACUGGUGUUACUGGUUCCUACCUUCUGACGAACCGUCAUGUCAUUAAUUUGGUGUGGCGGGGAAUCAGGACUGUUACUUUGAAAAAAUUAGAGUGUUUAAAGCAGGCUCGCGCUUGAAUACAUUAGCAUGGAAUAAUGAAAUAGGACGUUCGAUCCUAUUUUGUUGGUUUCUAGGAUUGACGUAAUGAUUAAUAGGGAUAGUUGGGGGCAUUAGUAUUCAAUUGUCAGAGGUGAAAUUCUUGGAUUUAUUGAAGACUAACUACUGCGAAAGCAUUUGCCAAGGAUGUUUUCAUUAAUCAAGAACGAAAGUUAGGGGAUCGAAGACGAUCAGAUACCGUCGUAGUCUUAACCAUAAACUAUGCCGACUAGGGAUCGGAUGAUGUUAUUUUUAAUGACUCAUUCGGCGCCUUACGGGAAACCAAAGUGUUUGGGUUCCGGGGGGAGUAUGGUCGCAAGGCUGAAACUUAAAGGAAUUGACGGAAGGGCACCACCAGGGGUGGAGCCUGCGGCUUAAUUUGACUCAACACGGGGAAA